UAAGCACAGGGCAUGACAAAAUGGAUAUUGCGUGCUAUCAGUUAGUGUUCCUAAAAAAGUUGGUGAUGAAUGGAGUGGGAAGCAUGGGCACACAAGGAACUCAUGUCUGUUGGUUCUCACCUUUGUGCCAAAUUCUCUAACUUGCACUCAAAUUGUUUUACUCUUUUGAAUUAAGUAAUGAUUCUAUGUACUUUUCUUCAAUGUUGAGGUGCAUUGUGUUUUCUUUUCAA
Non-coding RNA from Salvia hispanica, 230 nucleotides. The record is from RefSeq and is a predicted model, not a curated record. NCBI's taxonomy places the organism in Eukaryota, Viridiplantae, Streptophyta, Magnoliopsida, Lamiales, Lamiaceae.